Molecule: non-coding RNA, 26 nt
Filed under: Mus musculus (house mouse)
Lineage: Eukaryota; Metazoa; Chordata; Mammalia; Rodentia; Muridae
Source: RNAcentral
UUGGUCAUAAUGUUUGUGCAGGAAUA